Molecule: microRNA precursor, 206 nt
Organism: Oryza rufipogon (brownbeard rice)
Lineage: Eukaryota; Viridiplantae; Streptophyta; Magnoliopsida; Poales; Poaceae
Rfam family: MIR812 microRNA precursor family
Source: Rfam
AAUAAGUACAGUUACACUAUUCACGUCCAACGUUUGACCGCUCGUCUUAUUUGAAAUUUUUCUAUGAUUAGCAUUUUUGUUGUUAGUAGAUGAUAAAACAUAAAUAGUACUUUAUGUGUGACUAACUUUUUUUAAUAUUUUUAUAAAUUUUUCAAAUAAGAUGGACAGUCAAAUAUUUAACACGGAUUUCUAUGACUGCACUUAUU